This 299-nucleotide ribosomal RNA is filed under the name uncultured bacterium. Its description in RNAcentral is "partial 16S ribosomal RNA". It matches the Rfam family "Bacterial small subunit ribosomal RNA", at positions 334 to 630 of the family's 1533-position model. The record is from RNAcentral.
UAAGCCUACGGGAGGCAGCAGUGAGGAAUAUUGGUCAAUGGGCGGAAGCCUGAACCAGCCAAGUCGCGUGAGGGAAGAAGGCCCUGCGGGUCGCAGACCUCUUUGGACGGGGAGCAAGGCCGCCGACGUGUCGGCGGAAGGAGAGUACCCGUAGAACAAGCAUCGGCUAACUCCGUGCCAGCAGCCGCGGUAAUACGGAGGAUGCGAGCGUUAUCCGGAUUUAUUGGGUUUAAAGGGGGCGCAGGCGGCACGGCAAGCCGGCGGUCAAAUCGCGGGGCCCAACCCCGCCCAGGCGUAGG